GCACAUAGCCAGUGAUCCGGAGAUUUCCGAAUGAGGGAACUCACAUGGGAAACCCCAUGUACCGUAUAGUGAAUACAUAGCUAUACGGAGGUAAACCUAGGGAACUGAAACAUCUAAGUACCUAGAGGAAGAGAAAGAAAAAUCGAUUUUCUGAGUAGCGGCGAGCGAAAGGGAAAGAGCCCAAACCAGUGACUUGUCACUGGGGUUGCGGACAGAGCAUUAACGAGAAGAUGUUAUUAACCGAACAUAACUGGAAAGUUAGACCGUAGGAGGUAAUAGUCCUGUAGGUGAAAGUAACAUUUAUCAAGCUUUGAUCCAGAGUACCACGAGACACGUGAAACCUUGUGGGAAGCAGGGAGGACCACCUCCCAAGGCUAAAUACUACCUGAUGACCGAUAGUGAAGCAGUACCGUGAGGGAAAGGUGAAAAGAACCCCGGGAGGGGAGUGAAAUAGAACCUGAAACCGUGUGCCUACAACCGGUCAAAGCCCCAUAUGAGGGUGAUGACGUGCUUUUUGUAGAACGAGCCAACGAGUUACGGUAUGUAGCAAGGUUAAGUACUUAAGGUACGGAGCCGAAGGGAAACCGAGUCUUAAUAGGGCGACUAGUUGCAUGCCGUAGACCCGAAACCGGGUGACCUAUCCAUGGCCAGGUUGAAGCGAGGGUAAAACCUCGUGGAGGACCGAACCACGUUGCUGUUGAAAAAGCAUGGGAUGAGCUGUGGAUAGCGGAGAAAUUCCAAUCGAACUCGGAGAUAGCUGGUUCUCCCCGAAAUAGCUUUAGGGCUAGCGUCGGAUAUGUGUAGUGGAGGUAGAGCACUGAAUGGGCUAGGGGGCAUAUCGCUUACCGAACCUUAUCAAACUCCGAAUGCCAUAUACAUUUAGUCCGGCAGUCAGACUACGAAUGAUAAGAUCCGUGGUCAAAAGGGAAACAGCCCAGAUCGUCAGCUAAGGUCCCAAAGUGUAAGUUAAGUGGAAAAGGAUGUGGGAUUUCUAAGACAACUAGGAUGUUGGCUUAGAAGCAGCCACUCAUUUAAAGAGUGCGUAAUAGCUCACUAGUCGAGAGAUCCUGCGCCGAAAAUGUCCGGGGCUAAAACUUACCACCGAAGCUACGGGCUUGCGUAAGCAAGCGGUAGGGGAGCGUCGUAAUCGGGCUGAAGUCGUACCGUAAGGAGCGGUGGACUGAUUACGAGUGAGAAUGUUGGCAUUAGUAGCGAGAUGUAGGUGAGAAUCCUACAGGCCGAAUAUCUAAGGUUUCCUCAGGAAGGCUCGUCCGCUGAGGGUUAGUCGGGACCUAAGCCGAGGCCGAAAGGCGUAGGCGAUGGACAACAGGUUGAUAUUCCUGUACCACUACCAUCGUUAUUAUCGAGGGUGUGACGGAGAAGGAUAGUGUGUGCUAGCGAUUGGAAAUGCUAGUCUAAGCGUUUAGGCAGUUACGGUAGGCAAAUCCGCUGUAAUGUUAAUGCUGAGGCGUGAUGGGGAAGGCCCUUGAGGCUGAAGUACAUGAUUCCAUGCUUCCAAGAAAAGCAUCUAGAGAGAGAAGUAGUGCCCGUACCGCAAACCGACACAGGUAGAUGAGGAGAGAAUCCUAAGGCCGGCGGAAGAAUUGCAGUUAAGGAACUAGGCAAAUUGACCCCGUAAGUUAGCGAGAAGGGGUGCCUACGAGAGUAGGCCGCAGAGAAUAGGCCCAAGCAACUGUUUAGCAAAAACACAGGUCUCUGCUAAAGCGCAAGCUGAUGUAUAGGGGCUGACGCCUGCCCGGUGCUGGAAGGUUAAGGGGAACACUUAGCGCAAGCGAAGGUGUGAACUUAAGCCCCAGUAAACGGCGGCCGUAACUAUAACGGUCCUAAGGUAGCGAAAUUCCUUGUCAGGUAAGUUCUGACCCGCACGAAUGGCGUAAUGACUUGGGCACUGUCUCAACUGCAAAUCCGGCGAAGUUGUAGUGCGAGUGAAGAUGCUCGCUACCCGCGAUUGGACGGAAAGACCCCGUAGAGCUUUACUGUAGCUUAGCAUUGAAUUCCGGUAUUGUCUGUACAGGAUAGGUGGGAGACUGGGAAACUAGGGCGUCAGCCUUAGUGGAGUCAUCCUUGGGAUACCACCCUGACAGUACUGGGGUUCUAACAGGAUGCCAUGAAUCUGGUGACUGGACAUUGUUAGGUGGGCAGUUUGACUGGGGCGGUCGCCUCCUAAAAAGUAACGGAGGCGCCCAAAGGUUCCCUCAGAACGGUCGGAAAUCGUUCGUAGAGUGCAAAGGCAGAAGGGAGCCUGACUGCGAGACCUACAAGUCGAGCAGGGACGAAAGUCGGGCUUAGUGAUCCGGUGGUA
This 2323-nucleotide ribosomal RNA is filed under the name human gut metagenome. RNAcentral describes it as "bacterial LSU rRNA". It matches the Rfam family "Bacterial large subunit ribosomal RNA", at positions 88 to 2428 of the family's 2925-position model. The record is from RNAcentral.